UACGAAGGUCCCAAGCGUUAUCCGGAUUUAUUGGGUUUAAAGGGUGCGUAGGCGGGUUGUUAAGUCAGGGGUGAAAUCCCGGAGCUCAACUCCGGAACUGCCUUUGAUACUGGCAACCUAGAGGCUGGAAGAGGUUAGUGGAAUUCCCAGUGUAGAGGUGAAAUUCGUAGAUAUUGGGAAGAACACCAGUGGCGAAGGCGGCUAACUGGUCCAGUACUGACGCUGAGGUGCGAAAGCGUGGGGAGCAAACAGG
This 253-nucleotide ribosomal RNA is filed under the name uncultured bacterium. RNAcentral describes it as "partial 16S ribosomal RNA". It matches the Rfam family "Bacterial small subunit ribosomal RNA", at positions 524 to 776 of the family's 1533-position model. The record is from RNAcentral.